This 425-nucleotide ribosomal RNA is filed under the name uncultured bacterium. RNAcentral's name for it is "bacterial SSU rRNA". It matches the Rfam family "Bacterial small subunit ribosomal RNA", at positions 31 to 502 of the family's 1533-position model. The record is from RNAcentral.
GUACGCUGGCGGCACGCCUAACACAUGCAAGUCGAACGCAGUAGCAAUACUGAGUGGCAAACGGGUGAGUAUAAUGUGGGAAUCUGCCUUUUGGUUUGGAAUAACACGGGGAAACUUGUGCUAAUACCGAAUAAGCCCUUACGGGGAAAGUUUUAACGCCGAAAGAUGAGCCCGCACUUGAUUAGCUAGUUGGUAAGGUAAAGGCUUACCAAGGCAACGAUCAAUAGCUGUUCUUAGAGGAAGACCAGCCACAUUGGGACUGAGACACGGCCCAGACUCCUACGGGAGGCAGCAGUGGGGAAUCUUGCACAAUGGGGGAAACCCUGAUGCAGCGAUGCCGCGUGAGUGAAGAAGGCCUUUGGGUUGUAAAACUCUUUCGUCGGGGAAGAAAAUGACUGUACCCGAAUAAGAAGGUCCGGCUAACU